RNAcentral lists this long non-coding RNA (9710 nucleotides) under Gossypium barbadense (sea-island cotton). RNAcentral's name for it is "long non-coding RNA (GBAR_LNC015026)". Lineage: Eukaryota; Viridiplantae; Streptophyta; Magnoliopsida; Malvales; Malvaceae. The record is from RNAcentral.
AUAAACAUAAGGAAAAAUAGAAGGAUUUCUGGUGUAAUUGAUAUUGUAAUAGGCCAAUUUUGGCCUGGCUAAAAAUAAAUAAAAUAAAAUAACGGUCCAUUUACAUUUGGGCUAAUCCUAAUACAUUUAGCCCAAUAAAGGGCCCAAUUGUGUAAACCCUAGCCUAACCAGCCGAUAGCCUCAGCGCCACCAUCGCCCAACGUCGCAGCAGCACCCGCGCAUUGCGCACGUCGCCUUUGCACCUCGCGCAUGUUGCCCCGCACAACGCACGUCUUCCACUACUUCCAUACCUGCGAGAAAUUGAUCUAAACGGCAGCACAUGCUAAAAAUAAGAGGAUACAUAGAUUUUUUUUUGUAUAUCUCGGCUAUAAAAGGCCGAUUUUAAUUUGUAAACGGGGUUAGACAAAUGAUAUAUUGAAAUAUAGAGAAAAUACAAAGGAAAAGAAUCAGAAAAGAAAAAUUUUGGAAGGUGAUUUUCUUUAUUUCUUUUAUUGCUUUCUCUGUUAUUUUUUCUUUUUUUUUCUGGGUGUGCAAAACAAAAAUAAGGAGGAGAAGAGAAGGUUCUUACCAGUGGUGGCGAACCAUUGAUGCCCUUGCUGCGUUGCGUCCGAAUCUGAGUUGAAAAGGGGAGGAUUUCGGUAAGAAACAGAAGAGAAAGAAGCAGUCCUUGCAGCUGCUGUUGCUGAAAUUGGAAUGGGGUUUUGAUUAGGGUUUGAAAUGGGUUUUGUUGGCUGCAAAUGAAAUGGGGUUUUAUUAAUAGGCUAUUUACCUUUUUAAUCAUUUUCAUUUUUCCAUCAUUUCAAAAUUAUGGUUUUUGGUUUUUAAAUUUUGCUAUGAAAUAUUGAAAUUGUUUUAUUUUAAUCCCAUUUAAACGCAGUGCGUGGGAGGUUUGGGAAAAUUUCCCUUCCGGUCCUCCUCCUGUUGCGCGUAUUUUAAUUUGCUCCAAUUUUGUUUAUUGUAAUUAUGGAUUUGCCCCAAAUCACUGUUUCAAGUUUUAAAUUGGCCCUUUUGUCAUUAUUAUAUUAUAUUAUAUUAUUAUAUCUAUAUAUAUAUGUGCAUAUGUAUGUUAAUAUAUAUAUGUACAUAUUUUAAACGGUUUUACAAUAUAUAUACAUGUCUUAUAUAUUUUAUUAUCACUUUAUUUUUCUUAGUUUUAUAUACAUAUACGUACGUACAUAUACUUAUAUUUUAUAAUUUUCAUACACUUUUUCAUAUUUUUUAAUCCAAAUAUAUAUAUUUUAAUAUAUAUAUAUAAUUCACUAUUCAAAAUUAUAAUAAAUAUAUUUUCUGCAUUCUUCUUUUAUUUACCUAUAUAUCCAUAUUUUUGUAAUCUACUAAUAUAUUAUAUUUAUACAUUUUUUUUAUUAUUUCUAAAAUGUAUGUAUAUUUUAUUAUUAAUUCAUUUUCAUGAUUUUCGAAUACAUAUAUAUAUGCAUUAGCAUUUUAUUAUAUUUUUUAAAAGAAAAUAUAUUUUGGUUUCGUCAAAGCAUUAAAAUCGUUUUUAAAUUUUAAAUAUUUGGCAUUCUUGAUUCCCGAGAAAGAUCGUGUCCUAACUUACUGGAUUGUGAUUAUUUUUCGAUGAAUUUGGAAAACUAAGUAUUUAUUUUGUAAUAAAUUCACAAAGAUUUCGAAUAAAAGCUUAUUCUCAGGAAUCCAAAAAUGUCGGGUCCUAACUUACUGGUCGUGACAUUUCGUGAUCUCGAAAUAAGAAUUUCUAAAACAAAAGGCAAUGUUCCACUUUUGGGAAAUUCGAGUGAUUGUGCCCUAACUUACUGGGUUUCGAUUUUUCUCCCUUAACCCAAAUAACCGAAUAUCCUCUUAAGUUUUAAAUACAUGAGUUUUAAAAAUCAAGAGACGAACUUGAUUUUGAAGAUUUAAAAAUAUUGUGCCCUAACUCACUGGGUGUGAUGUUUUAUUUCUUUGAAAUAAGAAUGUUUAUCAUUUUAAUUCAUUCACGAGUUAAAAAUUUUUACUCUUUUCAAAUUUUCGACAUCAAAGACAUAAAAUAAUCAAAUUUGGUACCGAUUUUUGGGCGUUACGAGGGUGCUAACCUUUCCUCGUGCGUAACUGACUCCCAAACCUGUUUUCUCAAAUUUCGCAGACCAAAAUCAUUUUUAAGGUGAGCCGAUCACACCUCAAUUAAGGAUUGGUGGCGACUCCAAUUUUUGUUUUUAAAGUCGACAACUAAAUAUUUGUUUUUUCAAAAAAAUGGUUUCGACAGCUUGGUGACUCCACUGGGGACCUUAGAGAGUCGAGCCAUAAAUUGAUUAUGUUGUGUCUUUUUAUUGAAAAUUAAAGUUGUUUUAAAUCAUGAUUUUCCCCUUUGCAUUCAUUGGUUUUAUCAUAUGCUUGCUUGAUUGAUCUAAGUCCGUUAGUUUAUUUGCAUUUUGCAUUUCAUGGUCAAUUUUAUCCCUUUAAGUGGGAGUGAGAAACUAGUCCUUCGUGAGGUUUUCACCUCCGUGUAGGAUAGUGGAUCGCUUUCGGAAUACAUCUGUACUUGUGUCUUCGUGAGAUUUUCAUCUCCGUGCAGCCAUAGGGAAAUUUAUUCCCCUGAACCGAAUUUGGUCCAUAUGAGCCUAUAAUGGGUGAAGAUCGAUGAAUUUGUUGGUUCGGGUACUCUUGCUCUAGAAGCCAAAACCUCAUAUAGUGAACCUUAGGAACCCACCUUAGGUAGAAUUACUUUGAACCUUAGUAGAUACCUAAUUAAGAGUUUUUACUAUUUCUUGGUUGUGUUGUAUUUAAUUGUUACUGACUUUUUGUGUUUUACUCUAAUUGCAUGGCAUUACAAUUACAUGGCAUUCCAUUAUAAAGAGGCGUUGUUUUGUAUUCGGUUGCUAGACAGAAAAUUUAUCAUGGGAAAUAAGUUUCUUGAUAAAUUGGAAGAUAAUACGGCUGCCUGAAUAUAUUCCGAGAAACGCAAGAAGGGCGAUGGAGGAAUACAUGACUUUACUUCGUGCCUCAAGGUCAAGCUGAUUAUUCAAGAGUUUCUGACAUUCCAACUGCCUUAAAGAAGCUGAGGAGCAUUACGGGGAUGGCUAGACGUUGGAUUAUAACCAGGAUCAAGCAAAAAGGAGGUAGAGGAGAUACCCCUUUUGAAGAAUUCACAAGAUUUAUCUUAGCAUCCAGAUGAAGAAGGAGAAGAUGUCUUCGCCUGGAGUAUGAGGGUAAAGCCGUAUAUAUAUCCGCUUUAUGUAAAGAAAUUUGUCUUCUAGUAAAGUUUUUUAAAUGGAAUUGAAUCAGAAUCAAUGUCUCUUUUUGCAUUCAUCUCAUGCAUUUGCAUUACAUUGCAUUAUAUGCACUAAAAUCCACCAAAAGAGCCUGAUCAAUUAAAAUUAUUCUUCAGUUAAACUGGAAACCAACCAGCCAACCCAGCCCCGUUACGGUACAAGAGCGAAAUCAAAGAAUAUGGAUCAAAGAUUAGAAAAGCUCGAGCAGUUCCAAAAAGAAAUGCAUGAGCAACUUCAGCAGCAGAUGCAGGAGCAGCUCGAGAAGAUUCAAGAGAAAAUGAUGGAUAAAAUGAUGGAAUCUCAAGGAAGUAUGAUGAUAAAGUUAACGCAGUUGUUGACGGAAAGGAAAGAUAAAGGAAAGAGCCCCAUGACCCAUGUUGAGGAAGAAGGUGAUGACGGACACCUGUAUCCUCCAGGCUUCACUCCUCUAGAUGUACAGCCCCAAGUGGAAAUGUACCUGCGUAAAUCUUUUGUUACCAUUAGGCCUCAGCAAUUUCAGGACGAUGCUUCAAAGGCGAUGAAUUACCAAACUGGAUCAGGCUCUACCCUUGAGAAUAUUCCCGUCAAUCUUGUAGUCCCUGACUUCGAUGAGGUGGUCGAAAAGAAAAAAGUAAAGGAAGAAUUGCCAAAGCAAUGUGAAGAAAGGUGGAAGUGGGUCAAAGAGAAGUUCAAGGCGAUGGAAAGUACUGAGAGAUAUGGUGGGAUUGAUGCUAAAGAUUUGAGUUUAGUUCCAGACUUGGUGCUCCUUUACAAGUUCAAGAUGCCAGAGUUCGAGAAGUAUAAUGGAACUAGUUGCCCGGAAGCCCAUAUCACUAUGUUUUGUAGGAGAAUGACUGGAUAUGUUAAUAAUGACCAACUUUUGAUACACUACUUUUAGGAUAGCCUUACGGGGGCAACGUCUAAAUGGUAUAAUCAUUUGAGCCGUACUAAGAUUGGUUCUUGGAGGGAUUUGGCACAGGCUUUUAUGAAGCAGUACGGUCAUGUGACAGAUAUGGUUCCUGAUAGAAUCACCAUACAGAACUUAGAAAAGAAAUCGAAUGAAAGCUUUAGGCAGUAUGCACAGAGAUGGAGGGAGGUUGCAGUUCAGGUCCAACCACCGCUCCUUGAAAGAGAAAUGGUGAUGCUCUUUAUAAAUACGUUGAAGGCCCCAUUCAUCACACAUAUGUUGGGAAGUGCCACAAAAAGCUUUUCUAACAUAGUUAUGAGUGGUGAGAUGAUUGAGAGUGCUAUUAGGAGCGGAAAGAUUGAUACUGGAGGAAAUAACAGAAAGCAAGCCCCAAAGGAAAAAGAAAACGAGGUGAACAGCGUGAAUACAUACAGCAAAUCGAUUACGGUGAAUCAGCCAAGAAAGGUGGUUGCUAAUCAGCAGGGUUCAUCAAGACAAGAAUCAGGUGUGAAGCAAGGUACUGAGAAACUCCAGUUCACGCCAAUUUCAAUGUCGUAUAAGGGGCUUUAUCAAAGCUUAUUCGAUACGCACGUUGUUUCCCCUUUCUACUCAAAACCCCCACAGCCUCCGUACCCCAAAUGGUACGACGUAAGUGCACAAUGCGAUUAUCAUGCAGUAAUUACGAGACAUUCUAUAGAAAAUUGCAUUGCCUUUAAAAGAAGUGGUUGAAAGGCUUAUCAGUAUGGGCGUUGUCAAAUUUGACGAUUCAUCCAGUGCAAAAAAUCCGCUACCUAAUCACAUUUGAUAAUGGGGUGAAUGUGAUGCAUGAAGAAGUGUUGAGAGGCGUUCACAUCAAUGUCAUAGAUGAAGACACAAUCAAAAAUGGACCUUGUUAGAUAUCCACCUUUGUAAACCUGGAAGUGUUUUAAGCAAUCGAACUGCAGAAGAAAUAUUUGUAGUAUUUAGGGAUUAUUUAGAGCAAUGUUCAAAACACACUUGUUGCUUUUAGCCUAGAGGCAAUAAGAAUUCUUUUGUGAAGUAGGCUCAUGUCUAAAUGUCGUUAUUUUAAUGAAAUGCAUCCUUGCGACCAUUUUUGAACCAAUAUUCUUUCCGUCUGUCUGAAUAGUUAUUUUUUCAUUCUUUUGGAUUUUCUUCCACAUCAUUCAUUCAUUCAUAAUCAUAUUGUAUAGAUAGUUCUUCAUAAAUUCAUACAUUCUUUGUAUAUUCUUUGGUACCCACUAUAGGUCCCUAGAUAUCAAUGACUUGAAUGACACUGCCACAGAUUUAGAAUCUCCUCUUGAGCAAGACAUGUGUUUAGAGGGAUCUCAUGACUUUGAAGAUGACAUAGAUCGUAGCUUAUCUCCAGACUUGUUGAGGAUGGUAGAGCAAGAAGAGAACAAAUUUUACCUCUUGAAGAGACAAUAGAGAUUGUGACUUUAAGAGAACAUGCAUAACCAGAGAAACGAAGUAAGACCUUGUUAAGUUACUUCAAGAGUUCAAAGAUGUCUUCGUAUGGUUAUACCAGGAUAUGCCCAGGUUAAGCACUGAUAUUGUAAUCUGAGCAAUAGCACAAUGUUAAAAAUUUGCAGUAUGUUCAAGAUUCACAUCAUGAACGAUGCAGUUAGAAUUCUUUACCGGGGCAAUACCUUCUUCUCUGGCUUAUCCCGUUGAAGUCAAGUUGUCAUUUUUCCGUAUUUUUGUUGGAUUUCAUCCUAACUGAAGAGGAAGAUCUAAAAUUUUCUCGUCAUAGAUAAAUUUCGCCCCAAAAGGCUCUAUGAGAGAAACCUGAUACCAAAGAAGAUCUUUUGCAUACAAAAUAAAAGUGGAAGAUUUUAUGGGGAAUACCUUAUCUGGAAUAAUAUUGAUUCAUAUUGAAAAGGAUGACCAGGACUUGCAUAAUACUAUGAGUGCAGAUUCAAUGCAAAAAAAAAAAGAGGAAAAGAAGAAAGAAACAAACCAAAAAACAAAAAGAAACAAAAAAAACCUCUACCGGGGCAAUGUCUUUCUCUUUAGCUUAUCACGAUUUUUCCAUUGAAGUUAAAAUUCUUCCUCUUCGGGUAUUGGCUAAGCUGAAGUAGGAUGAAGAUCCAAUCUCGAUACGAUCAGUUGAACUUAAUUGAAGGAAAUUGGCUAAAAGCUAUUAGUCAUGGCCAGAUGUACCAAAAACGGAUGAUGCGAACUUACAACUAAAAAGGGUUCGUCCCAGAUAAUUUCAUGAGGGAGACCUAAUAUUGAAAAAGAUCCUUCCUUUACAAAAGGAUUUUAGAGAAAAAUGAGUGCCAAAUUGGGAAUGUCCUUAUGUUGUAAAGAAGACCUUUUCUGGAGGAGCACUAAUCUUGAGUGAGAUGGAUAGUAAAAACUUGUCUAAUCCUGUAAGCUCAGAAUCAAUCAAGAAAUACUUCGCUUAAAGAAGGAGAGGACCACGUAAAAACCCGCAAAGGGCACUUUGAGUUGCAAAAAAAAUGUGAAAAAAUAAAAAUAGAAAAAUGAAAAAUGGAAAAAGUAAAAAUGGAGAGGCUAAGGUGAAAACCCGCAAAGGGAGCCUUAGACCAAAGGAGAUUUGAGUUGAAAACCCGAAAAGGGCGGCUCAAAUUUUGAUCAGAAUAGGGCUGGAAGUGAUCAGAGUGGCUCAGAUUUUGAUUGGAAUGGGGCAUGUGGUGAUCUUGAUAUACCUGAAUCAGCAGGGAAGGGUAUGCGACAUCUUGGGGCAUCGACAGAGUAUUGUAGAUAUCCUAAACACAUGUCAAACUCAGAAUGGUCUUCAGGAAGUUUGUACAGAGAAGUUCAAGCUGCGUUAUCUGGGGCACUUAGUCUUCAUACUAUUUAUAUUGAAUUGCCUGUUCUUGGAAUACUUCAUUCUUUUUCAAGAUACGAGUCAAUUCCUCUUGUAUUAUUAAUAUUCUUGAUAAUAUGUUCAUUUCAAGCAAUGUUCUCAAACCAAUUCUAUUUUAUCUUUUAUUUUGUUCUUUUUGCAAACCUGUUGCAUUAGAAUAAUGAUCAAUGGACUAAUAAAACUUUCACAAGGGAAGUUUUGCAUAUUACUCUAGAAGUUUCUAAAUAAUACAGUAACCUAAAACAGGACUAUUGUUUAUAACGCACCAAGUUUAAAGAUUGAAACAUCUGGGAAGAAAAGGUCUAAAUUGAGACUAUUCCUUUAGAUUUUGUUGUCAAAUCACUGAUUGAACAAAGUGACAAGAUGCCGUGUUGGUGACAAAGCGUCAAUGAACAAGCAAGCAAUGAUCACCUUGCAAUAAGAAGAGGUUUCCUCGGAGAAAGAAAUUCUUCAUUUGUGCAUAGGCAUUUGGUAUGACACCUUGAGAACGGUAUAAAGGACCAAAGUGCUUCACCUUGCGAUAAGAGAAGAUUGAGAGGCCAGAUUUUUUUUUCUACCUUUGGGUUACAGCGGGAGAAAGAUGGUACCAAUGUUGCAUCCCAGUAGAUUGAACUUUAAAGUUCACAGUGGGGGGCAAUUUGAUUGAGUGUUCUUUGGAGAUGCUAGCCGAGCAAGAGGACGUUGUAGUGCGUCAGUGAUACGGCUUUAAAAAACUUUGAGUAAUGACUGCCUAAGCGGGAUUAUUCUUGAAAAAAAUGACAUUCUGCAUUCAUUCAAACGUCAUUCAUACAUGUCUAGUUAGGAAUAUUUGAUUCAUUCUGAUCAUGAUAUCCUAAUCACUAGGCAUAAUUAGGUCCAUAAAUUAAAUUAUACAGGUUAUGUUCCUUAGAGGACAAACCAGUGAAACUUCAGCCUUGCCUUCCUAAGUUUGCAGCAGAGCAAACUGAAGAUAGCAGAUCUUGCCUUCCUGUACUGAUAGAGAAGUAGAUCGAAAAUACCAGCCUUGUCUCUCUGGGCAGUAGUGGAGUAGGUUGAAAAUAGCAGAUCUUGCCUUCCUGUAUUGACAGAGAAGCAGAUCGAAGAUACCAGCCUUGUCUCCCUAGGCAGCAGUGGAGUAGGUCAAAAAUGGCAGAUCUUGCCUUCCUGUACUGGCAGUGAAGCAGAUCGAAGACAUCAUUCUUAUCGCCAUGAUGUUGCAAUUAAAAAGAUUGAAGCCACAAUGGCAGAUCUUAUUUUCCUGGCGUCGCAGCGGAGCAGAUUGAAGCCACAAUGGUGGAUCUUAUCUCCCUGGUGUUAAGGCUUGGAUUAGCUGAAGUGGAGUGGACUGAAGCUGUGGGCAGUGAAUCCUAUCUCUUUGGUAUUACAGUGGAAAAGAUUGAAGCCACAGCGGCGGAUCUUACUUCCUGGCAGUGCAGUGGAAAAGAUUGAAGCCAUGAUGGCGGAUCUGAUUUCCCCGACAUUGUAAUUGAAAAGAUUGAAGCCACAGCGGCGAAUCUUACUUCCCUGGCAGUGCAGUAGAAAAGAUUGAAGCCACGAUGGCGGAUUUAAUUUCCCCGACAUUGCAAUUAAAAAGAUUGAAGCCAUAACGGCAGAUCUUACUUCCCUGGCAGUGCAGCGGAAUAGAUUGAAGCCACAACGGCGAGUCUUAUUUCCCCAACAUUGCAAUUUAAAAGAUUGAAGCCACAACGACAGAUCUUAUCUCUCUGACGGUGCAGAGGAACAGAUUGAAGCUACAACGGCGGAUCUAGUUUUCUCGACAUUACGAUUUAAAAGAUUAAAGCCACAACGGCGGAUCUUACCUCUCUGGCGGUGUAGCAGAAUAGAUUGAAGUCAUGACGGUGAAUCUUGUUUUCCCGACAUUGCAGUUAAAUAAACUAAAGAAAAUAAUUCUAUCUCCCUGAAGUUGUAGUGGAGCGGGUUAAAAUUUAGUCUUAUCUCCCUAAAGUUGCAGUGGAGUAGACAAAAGAAACUAAUCCUAUCUCCCUGAAGUUGCAGUGGAACGGAUUAAAACCACAUCUUAUCUCCUUGAAGUUACAGGGAUCAGAUCGUGUUCGGUUUUAUCACCCUGAAGUGGCAGUGGAGUAGAUUGAAGCAUCAAUUUCUAUACCUCUGAAGAUACGGUAGUAAAGAAUGAGACUACUUGAAGAAAAGGGUCCCGAAGUCCAGUACGACCAGGCAAAAUUGGCCAUCUCUAAAGUCUUUGCUCUGUUCUCGUUACAUGAUAACGAGCAAAGAGGGGCAGCUGUAAUAGGCCAAUUUUGGCCUGGCUAAAAAUAAAUAAAAUAAAAUAACAGUCCAUUUACAUUUGGGCUAAUCCUAAUACAUUUGGCCCAAUAAAGGGCCCAAUUGUGUAAACCCUAGCCUAACCAGCAGAUAGCCUCAGCGCCACCAUCGCCCCACACCGCAGCAGCACCCGCGCAUUGCGCAUGUCGCUCAUGUUGCCCCGCACAACGCACGUCUUCCAUUACUUCCAUACCUGCGAGAAAUUGAUCUAAACGACAGCACAUGCAAAAAAUAAGAGGAUAGAUAGAUUUUUUUUCAUUUUUUUGGGUAUAUCUCGGCUAUAAAUGGCCGAUUUUAAUUUGUAAAUGGGGUUAGACAAAUGAUAUAUUGAAAUAUAGAGAAAAUACAAAGGAAAAGAAUCAGAAAAGAAAAAUUUUGGAAGGUGAUUUUCUUUAUUUCUUUUAUUGAUUUCUCUGUUAUUUUUUCUUUUUUUUUUCUGGGUGUGCAAAACAGAAAUAAUGAGGAGAAGAGAAGGUUCUUA